Molecule: ribosomal RNA, 443 nt
Filed under: uncultured bacterium
Lineage: Bacteria
Description: partial 16S ribosomal RNA
Rfam family: Bacterial small subunit ribosomal RNA
Source: RNAcentral
CCUACGGGAGGCAGCAGUGGGGAAUAUUGGGCAAUGGGCGCAAGCCUGACCCAGCAACGCCGCGUGAAGGAAGAAGGCUUUCGGGUUGUAAACUUCUUUUCUGAGGGACGAAGAAAGUGACGGUACCUCAGGAAUAAGCCACGGCUAACUACGUGCCAGCAGCCGCGGUAAUACGUAGGUGGCAGGCGUUAUCCGGAUUUAUUUGGUGUAAAGGUCGUGUAGGCGGGCAAGCAAGUCAGAUGUGAAAACUCAGGGCUCAACCCGGAGCCUGCAUUUGAAAAGGUUUUUCUUGAGUGCUGGAGAGGCAAUCGGAAUUCCGUGUGUAGCGGUGAAAUGCGUAGAUAUACGGAGGAACACCAGUGGCGAAGGCGGAUUGCUGGACAGUAACUGACGCUGAGGCGCGAAAGCGUGGGGAGCAAACAGGAUUAGAUACCCUUGUAGUC